AUGCAAGUCGAACGGCAGCACGGACUUCGGUCUGGUGGCGAGUGGCGAACGGGUGAGUAAUAUAUCGGAACGUGCCCAGUAGCGGGGGAUAACUACGCGAAAGCGUGGCUAAUACCGCAUACGCCCUACGGGGGAAAGGGGGGGAUCUUCGGACCUCUCACUAUUGGAGCGGCCGAUAUCGGAUUAGCUAGUUGGUGGGGUAAAGGCCUACCAAGGCGACGAUCCGUAGCUGGUUUGAGAGGACGACCAGCCACACUGGGACUGAGACACGGCCCAGACUCCUACGGGAGGCAGCAGUGGGGAAUUUUGGACAAUGGGGGCAACCCUGAUCCAGCCAUCCCGCGUGUGCGAUGAAGGCCUUCGGGUUGUAAAGCACUUUUGGCAGGGAAGAAAAGGCGCCGGAUAAUACCUGGCGCCGCUGACGGUACCUGCAGAAUAAGCACCGGCUAACUACGUGCCAGCAGCCGCGGUAAUACGUAGGGUGCAAGCGUUAAUCGGAAUUACUGGGCGUAAAGCGUGCGCAGGCGGUUCGGAAAGAAAGAUGUGAAAUCCCAGGGCUUAACCUUGGAACUGCAUUUUUAACUGCCGGGCUAGAGUAUGUCAGAGGGGGGUAGAAUUCCACGUGUAGCAGUGAAAUGCGUAGAGAUGUGGAGGAAUACCGAUGGCGAAGGCAGCCCCCUGGGAUAAUACUGACGCUCAUGCACGAAAGCGUGGGGAGCAAACAGGAUUA
RNAcentral lists this ribosomal RNA (730 nucleotides) under uncultured bacterium. RNAcentral's name for it is "bacterial SSU rRNA". It matches the Rfam family "Bacterial small subunit ribosomal RNA", at positions 55 to 780 of the family's 1533-position model. The record is from RNAcentral.